UCCCUGGUGGUCCAGUGGCUAAGACGCUGUAUUCCCAAUGCAGAGGACCUGGGUUCGAUCCCUAGUCAGGGAA
This is a non-coding RNA of Odocoileus virginianus texanus, 73 nucleotides long. Lineage: Eukaryota; Metazoa; Chordata; Mammalia; Artiodactyla; Cervidae. The record is from the annotation of a RefSeq genome assembly.